CCGGCACGGGUGAGUAACACGUAUCCAACCUGCCGUCUACUCUUGGACAGCCUUCUGAAAGGAAGAUUAAUACAAGAUGGCAUCAUGAGUCCGCAUGUUCACAUGAUUAAAGGUAUUCCGGUAGACGAUGGGGAUGCGUUCCAUUGAUAGUAGGCGGGGUAACGGCCCACCUAGUCUUCGAUGGAUAGGGGUUCUGAGAGGAAGGUCCCCCACAUUGGAACUGAGACACGGUCCAA
This 236-nucleotide ribosomal RNA is filed under the name uncultured bacterium. Its description in RNAcentral is "partial 16S ribosomal RNA". It matches the Rfam family "Bacterial small subunit ribosomal RNA", at positions 100 to 334 of the family's 1533-position model. The record is from RNAcentral.